AUGGUGGUGAGUGGUGGAUCCUGGUGGUGGAUGGCUGGGUGGCGCGGUGGUGCUGGUGAUGGCGCGGUGGCGCGACGCCACGCCGGCCUGGCCGCGGCGGCGGCCGGAGGUGGAGAAGAAAGGGAUCGGGGGAGAGAGAUGAGAUGCCAGGCCUCCAAGGGGAUCGGGCUGCAGCUAGGGAUUUUGAUCCUCUCCUCAGAUCUGUCCUUUUGCACUUCGGCCCUUCUACUUCUCUUCCUACUUCACAAGUUGAUCCCUCCACUCUUUCUUUCUUUCCCUUGUCUUGUUCCUCAAUACUUUAUAGACAGAAACUUGUAG
Molecule: ribosomal RNA, 318 nt
Filed under: Triticum aestivum (bread wheat)
Lineage: Eukaryota; Viridiplantae; Streptophyta; Magnoliopsida; Poales; Poaceae
Description: partial small subunit ribosomal RNA
Source: RNAcentral